UUCAGCUCAGGUUAUGAUCUUGUAGUUUGUGAGUUCAAGCCCCACGACAGGCUCUGCUGACAGCUCAGAGCCCGGAGCCUGCUUCAGAUUCUGUCUGUCUCUCUCCCUGUCUCUGCCCCUCUGCCGCUUGUGCUGUCUCUCUCUUUCUCUUAAAUAUAAGUAAACAUUUUAAAAAAAUACCCAUUCCUCUCAGCACCUGUCAUAGCUAUAAUGUUAUUUAUUUGGAUAAUGACUUAAUUUAGGAUUUAAGUAAGUAUUUAUUUGAUGAUUGUCUCCCCCACUAGACUAAGUUUCAUUCUGGGUUUAUCUGAGCUGAACCUUAAAGAAAUGACAAGUCAUCUGCACAUUGGCUGGAAGUGCAGCCCAAAUUCUUUGGAACUACAGUGGGAUGUGUCCCCUCUCCUUGAAUCUGAGCCCUGAGGCCUCCUGACAAAUAGAAAAUAGCAGAAAUUACACUGUACUGUUUUUUAGGCCUAAGCCUUAAGGAAGUGGCCAUCUUCCAUUUCCUUUUUUUUGUUGUUAGUUUUUUUUUUAACAUUUAUUUAUUUUUGAGAGACAGAGAGCAAGCAGGGGAGGGGCAGAGAGAGAAGGAGACACAGAAUCUGAAGCAGACUCCAGGCUCUGAGCAAGAUGUCAGCACAUAGCCCGAAGCGGGGCUCAAACCCACAAACUGUGAGAUCAUGACCUGAGCCGACGUCGGACACUCAGCCGAGUGAGCCACCCAGGUGCCCCGGCCAUCUUCCAUUUCCUAUCACUUUGGAUGCUUUCUCUUAAACCUAAUCACCAUGCUAUGAGAAAGCCUAAAUAGCCCAUGGAGAGGGACAAGAAACUUGGUCCUCAGGCUCAAAUGCGUUCCCUGCUGAUAGCACUAAAUUUGCCAGUUAUAUCAAUGAGCCACCUCGGAAACAGAAUUUCUAGCCUCUCCUUUCCCAGUCCCCCCACCAAAAUCCCAUCUGAUACUACAUCAUGGAGCAGAGAUGAACUUUCACUAUUGAACCCCGCCUAAAUGGAAGAUUCCUGAGCAAAAUGAUUUUUUUUUUAAGCUGUAAAUUUUAGGUGGUUAGUUAUACAGCAACAGAAAAUGGGAACAUCAACCAGAAGGACAACCCUGUGCAGAAAGGCAACACUUUCCGGGGCAGGAUCACAGAGCUGUUUGUGAUGUCAUGCCAUCCUGAGUCUUACUGAGCCCUGGCCGGCCAGGAGCCUGGAGUGUUUGUUGACAUACAGAGGGGGAGUCUGUGGCAGUCCUCAACCAGAGGACAGUCUGUCAUGUUCAUGCUGUUCUCCUGAUCUCUCAGGGCCGUCCCUGGCACUUUGACAUGGUGGCACCUGGCUCCAAUGUGGCUACCAACAACCUGGUACCAGAGUAUGAGGACUCUUCAUCUUAGGUCUGCGUGACGAACACAAGAUAAAACAGGUG
Acinonyx jubatus (cheetah) is the source of this 1420-nucleotide long non-coding RNA. RefSeq lists it as uncharacterized. The record is from RefSeq and is a predicted model, not a curated record. Lineage: Eukaryota; Metazoa; Chordata; Mammalia; Carnivora; Felidae. The transcript has 3 exons.